GAUACCCUAUUAUAAUAAUAAAAUUAAUUUAAUAAUUAAAUUUAAGAUAUUAAAUGUUAUAUCAUUAAAUUUAAAAGAUUUGGCGGUAUUUUAUAUAAUUAGAGGAACCUGUGUAUGAAUUGAUGAUCCACGAUAAGAUUUACUUAAUUUAUAUAUAUAUAUAUAUAUAUUAUUUAUUUAUGUAUUGCUGUUUUUAAAUUAUUAUUAAUUAAAUUUUUUUUAAGUUAAAUAUAAUUUAAUUCAAGUCAAAAUAUAGUAUAAUUAAGAUUAUAUGGGUUACAUUUUUUUAAAAAUAAUUAUUGAUAAAUUAAUAUUUAAUUUAAUUUUGAGAUUGGAUUUAAUAGUAAAUUUAAUAAAUUAAUUAUUUUGAAAUUUAAAUAAAAUAAGUACAAAUUGCCCGUCACUUUCAAUAAAAUGAAAUAA
RNAcentral lists this ribosomal RNA (423 nucleotides) under Agelaia pallipes. RNAcentral's name for it is "partial 12S ribosomal RNA". Lineage: Eukaryota; Metazoa; Arthropoda; Insecta; Hymenoptera; Vespidae. The record is from RNAcentral.